CUUAACGGAGUUUUAUAAAGUAUGUUUUUGUAACGAAAGGUUUAUGUCUAAGAUUUAGUUGUUGAGAAGUGUUGUUUGGUCUGGGUAAGGUCUUGUAAACUAAAUUUAUGUGGUGAUAAGUGAGUUGUAAAGCUUUAUAACUGUUUGGUUGUUUAGAAUUUAGUGGGAUGUAGGUGGCUAUUAGGUCAUUUAUAUUUUUAUACAUUUGGUGAUGUGUGGUUUUUGAUAAGGUUAGAGGUACCUAGUUUUUGUUAUAUUGUUGUAAAUAUGGUUUUGUUGGUUUAUUGGUAUGUUAAUUGUUUGAACAACUGUUUUGCUAUAUUUGGUUAUUAUAUUAUCGUUGAAUAAGUAAUUUUAUUAUGCUAUUUAUUUCUUGAGUUCUUUCCGUCUGUUUAUUAAAAACAUUUCUAAUUUUAAUUGUAGUUAGUAGUGCCUGCCCAAUGUUGGUUAAUUAAUGGCCGCAGUAUAUUGACUGUGCAAAGGUAGCAUAAUUAAUUGCCUUUUAAUUGGAGGCUUGUUUGAAUGGUUUGACGUGAUUGGUAUGAAUAUUUGGUAUUUAGUUGAAAUUGAUUUUGAGGGUUUAGAAUCCUUAAUGUUUAAUAAGACGGAAAGACCCUAGGAUCUUUUGUUUUUGUUUGGGGCAAAUAUUGUUGUUUUAUGAAUAUUGUGCCCCU
RNAcentral lists this ribosomal RNA (674 nucleotides) under Echinococcus granulosus. Its description in RNAcentral is "partial 16S ribosomal RNA". The stretch from base 384 to 536 matches the Rfam family "Archaeal large subunit ribosomal RNA", at positions 1887 to 2086 of the family's 2987-position model. Lineage: Eukaryota; Metazoa; Platyhelminthes; Cestoda; Cyclophyllidea; Taeniidae. The record is from RNAcentral.